This is a non-coding RNA of Paramuricea clavata, 272 nucleotides long. Lineage: Eukaryota; Metazoa; Cnidaria; Anthozoa; Malacalcyonacea; Plexauridae. The record is from the annotation of a GenBank genome assembly.
CUGUUUACUUGUACGGUAGUUUUACUGCCGCUCUCUUCGCUUUGAGUUUAACUUUUACAAGAAGGGUAGAAGACAAAAUGUUUCCGACAAUCGCCUUGUCACGUUGAAAGUUUACCGUGAGAAUUGAGGGCCAAAUACGGCGGUGGUUUUCCAGAUGUAAACAAACAAAUUAGUGAGCGGAAGUGGUCAUGGUUAAUAAUAAGGUCAAGCAAUUAAUACAUAAACAGACUAUAAAUAUGCGGAAAUUUACAAAAGCUGGCCUUCCAGUGCAC